RNAcentral lists this ribosomal RNA (478 nucleotides) under uncultured bacterium. RNAcentral describes it as "partial 16S ribosomal RNA". It matches the Rfam family "Bacterial small subunit ribosomal RNA", at positions 28 to 523 of the family's 1533-position model. The record is from RNAcentral.
GACGAACGCUGGCGGCGUGCUUAACACAUGCAAGUCGAGCGACGAAGUUCCUUCGGGAAUGAAUUAGCGGCGGACGGGUGAGUAACACGUGGGUAACCUGCCUCAUAGAGGGGAAUAGCCUUCCGAAAGGAAGAUUAAUACCGCAUAAGAUUGUAGUACCGCAUGGUACAGCAAUUAAAGGAGCAAUCCGCUAUGAGAUGGACCCGCGUCGCGUUAGCUAGUUGGUGAGGUAACGGCUCACCAAGGCGACGAUGCGUAGCCGACCUGAGAGGGUGAGCGGCCACAUUGGGACUGAGACACGGCCCAGACUCCUACGGGAGGCAGCAGUGGGGAAUAUUGCACAAUGGGGGAAACCCUGAUGCAGCAACGCCGCGUGAGUGAUGACGGUCUUCGGAUUGUAAAACUCUGUCUUCAGGGACGAUAAUGACGGUACCUGAGGAGGAAGCCACGGCUAACUACGUGCCAGCAGCCGCGGUAA